CUGCCCCAGUCUCCGGGCAGGCCAAGUGCCGAGCCCAGGCUGCCGGGCUGAGUGCCGAGCCCAGGCUGACGGGCCGAGUGCGGCCGCAGCAGCCAGACCUGUCGCUGCAGCGCCACCCUGCGGCCGGGCCCGCCACCACAUCUUCACUCUGCAGCCGGGCUGGGCCCACCGCUGCCACCACGGCCGCUGCCAACCCGCCACGCUGCCGGGCCCGCCAGCCACCGCCUCACAUCCGUGGCCAGGCUGGUUCCGCAGCCAGGCUGGGCCCACUGGCCGCGCCUCGCAUCCGCAGCCGGGCCGCGACCACUGCCUUGCAUCCUCCUGGGUGUGCCAUCGGAAUGUGUCCCGGCAGCUCAGCUGAUUGGCCAGUGCACCCAGGAGAAUUGGCUGGCUGGGCAGAUGCAAGGCAGCGGUGGCAGGCCUGGCCCGGCCCGGCCACUGAUGCAAGGCGGUGGUGGCUGGCGCACCCAGGAGGAGAGGGGAGAAUUGGACAGCGGUGGGCCUGGCGCACCCAGGAGGAGAGGGGAGAAUUGGACAGCGGUGGGCCUGGCGACCCGGCCGAGGCGGUGGGACGAGUUGGAGAAGUGUGUGGCAAUGGACCGAAGUUUGUGCAUGAGGGAUGGCCAGAAAAAGAGUGAGCUGGAAGUUUGAGGAGGUCAGGUUCUUAGGUGUGGUGGUGGAGGAAGAAGUUAUACAAAGGUUAUCUUAAAAGCCACUGAGGAAGAUCAGGAGGAUCGAAACGCAUUUGGCUGGCAUAAAAGAAUUACCUUGAUGACAUAUACUUCAGAAGAAUUUCAACAAUAACUUUUGGCAAGCUCCCAUAUGCACAAGUUAAGUGCACUCAUUUACUUACAUGCUGUAGCAAUGGCUGACAUAAAAGAAUUACCUUAAUGAUAUACUCUCCUGAAGAAGUUCAACAACAACCACAUUGACUUUUGGCAAGCUCAAAUAUGUACAACUGAAGUGUGUUUGUUUACCUAUAUGUUAUAGUAAUGAUAGUAUAAUUAUUUUAUUUGAUUACCAUUUUUAUU
This is a long non-coding RNA of Hemicordylus capensis (graceful crag lizard), 1031 nucleotides long. RefSeq lists it as uncharacterized. The record is from RefSeq and is a predicted model, not a curated record. Lineage: Eukaryota; Metazoa; Chordata; Lepidosauria; Squamata; Cordylidae. The transcript is spliced from 3 exons.